AGUCGUGAGCCCCUGCGCCUAGCCUAAUUUACUAGAAUAUUUUAUCACAUCCUCUCUGCUGAACACAUUACUAGCUUGUAAUUGGAGAAUAUGAGCAAGAUUCAUGUUAUUUAUUUUUAAUAAAACAUGUAUUGGUGUCUCUGAACCAGACCUGAUCACCUGUCUGGAGCAGGAAAAAAAACCUUUGACUAUGAAGAGACAUGAGAUAAUUGCCAAACCCCCAGGUAGGUGUGAGUGAAAAUGAAUACAACAGAUGACACAGAUUAGAGAUCCCAAGGUCAAAGAGAAAGCCAGUCCUUAGAAUGUGAUUUGGGAAGCUGUGUUCCAAAGGAAAUAGUUCCUGGGCAUCUGUUCUAUUGUUUGUUUGUUUGUUUUUUAAAUUUUAUUCUCACAAAGGGGUAUCUUCUGUCUUGUGCUUUUAAAUUCUCUACAAAUUCCACUUUUCUUUCCGUGAGCUUCCUUCAAGUUCACAGUGAGAGCCAAAGUCCACUUCAGGGCAUAUAAGAGACUGCACAAUCUGGCUGCUUUUCUAUUGUUUUGGGGACACACAACUAUCUGCAUGAUUUUGAGAAACUAAAAGUUUUUAAAGUUUUUUUUUGCAUCAGAUUUGAAAUGUGUGGGAGUAGUUGUUUCUGUUGAAUAUUUUUGUUCAUUUUUCUGCCCAGCCCAUUCUGUUUUUAUUACUAUAUAGCCUUGAAAUAUAGUUUGAAAUUAUAAGUAUGAUAUUUUUCUGCUUUGUUCUUUUUUCUCAAGAUUGCUUUGGCUAUUCAAAGUUUAUUUUAGUUUCAUGUAAAUUUUAGAAUUGUAUUUUCCGUUACUGUGAAAAAAAUACCACUGCAAUUUUGAUAGGAAAUUUAUUGAAUCUAUAGAUCACUUUGGAUAAUAUGGCACUUUAAUAAUAUUUAUUCUUUCAAUCUGUAGACACAAAAUAUUUUAAAAUUUAUUUAGAUCUUCUCUAAUUUUUUCAUUGUUUUUUUUUAUUGUGAAGAUUUUUACCUCCUUGGUUAAUUUUUUCUCACAAAUUUAUUAUUUAAUGCUAUAGUAAAUAAGAUUUGUUUCAUCUUCUAUUUUAUCUGGUAGUUGAAGUUUCUGAAACCAUAUAUAUACUUGCAUGUUAAUUUUAUAUUUUGCUAAUUUACGAGUGUAUUUAUUAGUUUAUGUAGCUUUUAAUGUUCUGUGAUGGUUUUUCUAAAAUAUAAGAUUGUAUGAUCUACAAACAGCAACUUUUUACUUAUUUUUCUUUCAUUUCAAUGGAUUUUUUUGUUUCUUUGAGUAAUUCUUCUGCCACAUACUUCCAGUUCUACAUUAAAAUAGAAGUAUUGACAAUGGACACAAUAUAGUUUUGUAUUGGUGUCUGAAUUUGAUGGAGCAAACACCUCUUCAAGUUUUCAUGAACUGAUUUUAGAAGUUAUGUGUUCUCAUUUUGCCCAAGACCUUUGGCCAGAGCAGAGCGUAAAAGAUUCUUUCCAAAAACUGAUACUGAGAAGUUAGUUAUGAAAAAUGUGGACAUGACAAUUUACAGUUAAAAAAAGAAUGUGAAAGUGUGGAUGAGUGUAAGGUGCACAAAGAAGGUUAUAAUGGACUUAACCAAUGCUUCACAAAUACCAAGAAAAAAAUAUUUCAAUGUGAUAAAUAUAGGAAAGUUUUUCAUAAAUUUUCAAAUUCAAACUGACAUAAGAGAAGACAUACGGGAAAAAAGACCUUUCAAAUGUAUAGAAUGUGGCAAAGCUUUUAACAAGUUUUCAACCCUUACUACACAUAAGAAAAUUCAUACUAGAGAGAAACCCUACAAAUGUGAAGAAUGUGGCAAAGCCUUCAACUGGUCCUCAUACCUUACUAUACAUAAGAGAAUUCAUACUGGAGAGAAACUCUACAAAUGUGAAGAAUGUGGCAAAGCCUUCAACUGGUCCUCAUACCUUACUGCAUAUAAGAUAACUCAUACUAGAGAGAAACCCUACAAAUGUGAAGAAUGUGGCAAAGCCUUUAAGUACUCCUCGAACCUCACUACACAUAAGAUAAUUCAUACUGGAGAGCAUCUCUACAAGUGUGAAGAAUGUGGCAAAGCGUUUAACCAUGCUGCAUGCUUCUUUGUCAUUUUGAAGAUUUGACUUAAAGUACAUUUUAUAAAAUAUGACAGUUUUUGACUUAAGAUGUAGCUUGUGUAAUAUUAUUCUGAGCUCUUCUGCUCUCAUUUGGUUAAUAUUUACAUGAAAUUUCUACUUCCAUCUUUCCACUUUCAGUCUUUUUUUCUCAUUAGAUCUCAACUAACUCUUGUAGAAAGGCAAGUUGAAUCUUGAUUUAAAAAUUUUUUAAUAAACCUUUAUAUUGAAAGUA
Molecule: RNA transcript, 2334 nt
Organism: Homo sapiens (human)
Lineage: Eukaryota; Metazoa; Chordata; Mammalia; Primates; Hominidae
Gene name: zinc finger protein 430-like
Exons: 2
Source: RefSeq, marked validated